UGCCUCGGGGCGCAGCAGUGAGGAAUAUUGGUCAAUGGGCGCGAGCCUGAACCAGCCAAGUCGCGUGAGGGAAGACGGUCCUAUGGAUUGUAAACCUCUUUUGUCGGGGAGCAAAAGACGCCACGCGUGGCGUUCCGAGAGUACCCGAAGAAAAAGCAUCGGCUAACUCCGUGCCAGCAGCCGCGGUAAUACGGAGGAUGCGAGCGUUAUCCGGAUUUAUUGGGUUUAAAGGGUGCGUAGGCGGAGUGUCAAGUCAGCGGUAAAAUUUCGGGGCUCAACCCCGUCGUGCCGUUGAAACUGACACC
This 305-nucleotide ribosomal RNA is filed under the name uncultured bacterium. RNAcentral describes it as "bacterial SSU rRNA". It matches the Rfam family "Bacterial small subunit ribosomal RNA", at positions 335 to 640 of the family's 1533-position model. The record is from RNAcentral.